UUUCCUUAGGUGUUCUGCACAAGAAUAUUUGAGAUUCUUAGAGGGUAUAAUCCAAGGAAAA
Molecule: transfer RNA, 61 nt
Filed under: Planorbella duryi
Lineage: Eukaryota; Metazoa; Mollusca; Gastropoda; Planorbidae
Also listed under: 1 other name
Description: tRNA-Gln
Source: RNAcentral